CACCUGACCCCAUGCCGAACUCAGAAGUGAAACGCCGUAGCGCCGAUGGUAGUGUGGGGUCUCCCCAUGCAAGAGUAGGGAACUGCCAGGC
RNAcentral lists this ribosomal RNA (91 nucleotides) under Escherichia coli. Lineage: Bacteria; Pseudomonadati; Pseudomonadota; Gammaproteobacteria; Enterobacterales; Enterobacteriaceae. The record is from RNAcentral.